Molecule: long non-coding RNA, 4343 nt
Filed under: Manihot esculenta (cassava)
Lineage: Eukaryota; Viridiplantae; Streptophyta; Magnoliopsida; Malpighiales; Euphorbiaceae
Description: long non-coding RNA (MESC_LNC002538)
Source: RNAcentral
CUUAUUCAAUAAUAUAAAACCCUUGUAAAACCCUAUUCUAUUGGAUCUCAGAUCAUCAAUUGGCGCCGUCUGUGGGAAACGAAGGAGAUCUUUUCAUCACCGGAGUUUUCACUUUCAAAACCCACUGAGAUCCACGAUGGCAAACCACCAAGAAAGUAACCUUAAUAUUCCAAAUGACCUGAGCUCUGCCCAAGAGGGGCAGCAGUUCUCCUUUUCUAGCCCUACAACGUUGAAUAACCAAACACCUAUUUCUCUUAAUCCCUCGCCAAGCUUGGCAGGGAAUACUCCCACCAUGACCCUAUCUAACCAAGAUAUUCAAACCAUGGCUCUCCAACUACAAACCACUGCUCACUGGUUGGGGCAGAUAAUGCAACAAAGGGGACUUAGCACCCCAGUAAACGCACUCCCAGUAGUGGAGGAACCCAGAACCGAUGAACCCCAACCUACCUCUGCCCGCCUCCAAACUAACAACCACGAUGCCGGAGAAGAGGAAGAACCGGAGGCCCGAAUCCAUGGGAGAAGGGCAAGAGAGUUGAUAGAAAAUGAAGAGGUGGACGACUAUUCUGCUGAAACAACCAGGGAAACGGGAACUGAAACAGAGGAGGAAGAAUGUAGUUUGGGCAAAAGAUCCAGCCCGGAAGACGAGAAAAUGAACCAAAAGCUGAAAAGGUUGAAGGAGCAGCUCCUAGCCGAGCUAGGUAAGAAAGAUCAGAGUCAAACCUCCUUGCCUACUUCUUCUCCCUUCUCAAAGUUAAUGCAGCAGGAGACCGUUCCCAAAAAGUUUAUGAUGCUGCCGAUGGCGGCCUAUAAUGGGGCUGGUAACCCGAGAGAGCAUGUCAUGAACUAUAAGACCUUCAUGGAGUUGCAAACUCUGUCAGAUGCUCUGAUGUGCAAGGUGUUCCCAACAACGCUCUCGGGACCAGCGAGUGCAUGGUUCAACAGCCUGGAGGCCGGAAGCAUUAAAAGUUUCGGAGAUCUUGCCACCCGCUUCAUUAGCCGGUUCGUAGCCGGGGUGCCAGCAGAUAGGAAGACGAGCUAUCUGGAAACAGUGAGACAAAAAGCUGGUGAAUCCCUCAGAGAGUAUGUCGCUCGUUUCAAUACGGAGGCCCUGCAGAUUCCCGAGCUUGACGAAGGAAGGGCGGUAGAGGCCAUGCAAAAGGGAACAACCUCUGCCGAGUUCUUUGGUUCUCUGAGCAGGAAACCUCCGACCUCACUGGCCGAGUUGAUGAAGAGGGCGGAAAAGUAUAUAAGGCAGGAUGACGCCUUAGUAACGAGUAGAUUUGCCAAAGGGGUGGCAGGAAAAGAGAAAGCCCCGGAGGAGGGGAGGCCGGAGAAACACGAGAAGAAGCGUGGAAAGAGGCCUGAGCCGUACAAGCAGGCCUGGGAAAGAAGGGAUCAAAGGCCUCCCCCUCCUCCCAGGGCUCAUGAACCAAGAGUGCUCCCUCCUUGGGUCCCGGAGAAACCGACUCCAUUAAAUGCGUCCAGAGCCGAGGUGCUCAUGGCUGUCCAGGAUAAGGAGUUUCUCCAGUGGCCCAAACCUUUGAAGUCGGAAGCAGAUCAGAGGAAUCCUGACAAGUAUUGUCAGUACCACCGGACGCAUGGCCACGAUACAAAUAACUGUUUUCAGUUAAUCGCGGAGAUUGAAAGAUUGAUAAAAAGGGGGCAUCUCAAAAAUUUUGUGAAGAAACCGGAGGGGCAGAGGCCUCAACCCGGUCCGGCAGCCCAGAUGCCCAGGAGAACUGGAGCUGGACCAGUGAAUGAUGGGUCCAGUGGGACUAUUAAUAUGAUUGUUGGAGGAACUGGAGGACGGAUGAACCGUCGAGGAAAGAAGAGAAACCGGGAAGGGGAGACCAGCAAUGGCGAGGUUAUGCAGAUCGUUGAACACUCUCCCAUGACCAUCGCUUUCUCUUCGGAAGAUGCACAGGGCAUUCAGAUGCCCCAUGAUGACGCGCUUGUCAUUGAAGCAGUCAUUCAUAAUUUUCGGGUGAAGAAGGUUCUGGUGGAUGAUGGGAGUAAGGUCAAUUUAUUGCCAUAUCGGGUUUUCCAGCAGAUGGGAAUCCCAGAGGAACAGCUGGUUCGGGACCAGUCACCCAUCAAAGGGAUCGGAGGAGCACCGGUACUUGUAGAAGGGAAGGUGAAGCUGGCCCUUACCUUGGGAGAAGCACCCAGAGCUCGCACCCAUCAUGAGGUGUUUUUGGUGGUCAAACUCCCACUGAGCUACAAUGCGAUUUUGGGGAGGCCGGCGUUGUUCAACUUUGAAGCUGUCACUAGCAUCAGGUAUUUGGCACUCAAGUUCCCAACGGAAGAAGGAGUGGGAAUGGUCCGGGGCAGCCAGGAAGAAGCAAGGGCGGUAUACUUGGCCACAGUAACAGAGCCAAGCUCAACUGGAGAAGCACUUGACUCGGAAGUUCUGGAGGUCAGAGAUGAAACAAAAGAGGCCCGGACAGAGCCAGUCGGAGAGUUGGAGACUUUCCCCUUAUCAGAAGCAGAUGCAAGCAAGGUCUUCAGUUUUAAUGCCAGCCUCACCAAAGAACAAAAAGGUGAAGUCAUGACCCUGAUCCGAGGUCACGCGCCGACCUUCGCAUGGAAGCCCUCAGACAUGCUGGGAAUUGACCCCAAAGUGAUGACACACCGAUUGAAUGUCCUCCCCGAGGCCAGACCAGUAAAGCAAAAGAAGAGAGUAGCGGGAAGAGAGAAGCAGCAGGCUACCCAGGAAGAAGUGCAGAAGCUAGAAGAGACAGGCUUUAUUAGGGAGGUUAUGUACCCACAGUGGUUGGCAAAUCCUGUGUUAGUCAAAAAAGCCAAUGGCAAAUACAGGAUGUGUAUAGAUUUUACCGACCUGAAUAAGGCCUGCCCUAAAGAUUGUUACCCCCUCCCCGAUAUUAAUAAGAUGGUCGACUCAAGGGCCGGUUUUGAUUAUAUGUCUUCUUUGGAUGCUAUGUCUGGUUACCACCAAAUCCCAAUGGAAAAGACGGAUGAGGAGAAUACCUCAUUUAUAACUGAAGAUGGGACUUACUGCUACAGAGCUAUGCCCUUCGGAUUAAGAAACGCCGGGGCAACUUACCAACGAUUAAUGAAUAAAAUCUUUAAGAACCAGAUCGGCAGGAAUGUAGAAGCAAUAGCUAAUGCCAUCAGGACCCCUGCCACUCCUCAAGCAAGCAUAUCCAGUCCAUGGCCUUUCUCACAAUGGGGAAUUGACAUCCUGGGACCUUUCCCCAAGACUACGGGGCAAAGGAAAUUCGUAGUGGUGGCUGUGGAAUAUUUCUCGAAAUGGCCAGAGGCAGAAGCAAUAGCCACAAUCACAGCUCGCAAGAUGAUAGAUUUCGUAUGGGGACAUAUCAUCUGCAGAUUUGGCAUACCAAGAGUACUUAUCUCAGACAACGGCAGACAAUUUGACUGCAGCACUUUCAGAGCCUUCACGACGAACAUGGGCAUAUGGCAUAAGUUCUCCUCCGUGGCUCAUCCUCAGACUAAUGGCCAAACGGAAGUCACUAAUAGAGCUAUCCUUCAAGGAUUAAAGAAACGGCUGGAUGGCGCAAAGGAGAAUUGGGCAGAAGAACUCAAUAGCACUCUAUGGGCACUCCGAACCACUCCCAGCGCGCCCACUCAAGAAACCCCGUUUGCACUUGCUUAUGGCACAGAGGCUGUAGUCCCAGUUGAGUUGCAGAUCCCCACUCAUCGAGUUCAAUUCGUUAGUGAGAACGCUAAUGGGGACAAAUUAAGGAGCAACCUAGAUGCUCUUGAAGAAGUUAGGAAAGAAGCCCAAGUCCGAACUGCUGCUUAUCAACAACGAGCGGCAAGAUAUUACAAUUAAAAGGUCAGAGAAAGAAGCUUGAAGGUGGGAGACCUGACUUUAAGAAACCUGGAAGCUACAGGAAAAAGAGCAGCCGCAGGCAAGCUAGCACCGACCUGGGAAGGUCCAUUCAAGGUGACAAAAGUGGUUAAGCCCGGGGUAUACUGAAUUGAAGAUAUGCAAGGAAACCCCGAGCCCCACGCUUGGAACAUCCAGCACUUAAAAAGGUAUUUCCCUUGAAAUAUUUGUAAAGAAAAACAUUGUAUUUUGACAAAUAUGAAUAAAUGAAAAUUGUUUAUACAAUGUGAUUAUCUUUGUGAAAAACAUUUUUCCAUGAAAAAGAAAGAACAGGGCUCAGAAAGAUCCCUUGAAAACGAGACCUCAGUUAGGCACAAAAACCAGCUGAGAUAACGAAGCGACAGUAAGGCCAAUGAGCCUGAAUCUUGUACAAAACCCCAAAGUAAGUACCAAAGACAACCGGCGAGGCCCCGAGGUCGUCCCGGAAAUUCAAAGAAAACCAGGAUCCCGUAAGAUCUCCUGGAAACAAAAA